CCCCUUUCCUCUUUGUUUUCCGACUACAUUCACCGGAUAAAUUUUAUUACGCGAAGAACCUUACCUGGUCUUGACAUCCACGGAAGUUUUCAGAGAUGAGAAUGUGCCUUCGGGAACCGUGAGACAGGUGCUGCAUGGCUGUCGUCAGCUCGUGUUGUGAAAUGUUGGGUUAAGUCCCGCAACGAGCGCAACCCUUAUCCUUUGUUGCCAGCGGUCCGGCCGGGAACUCAAAGGAGACUGCCAGUGAUAAACUGGAGGAAGGUGGGGAUGACGUCAAGUCAUCAUGGCCCUUACGACCAGGGCUACACACGUGCUACAAUGGCGCAUACAAAGAGAAGCGAYCUCGCGAGAGCAAGCGGACCUCAUAAAGUGCGUCGUAGUCCGGAUUGGAGUCUGCAACUCGACUCCAUGAAGUCGGAAUCGCUAGUAAUCGUGGAUCAGAAUGCCACGGUGAAUACGUUCCCGGGCCUUGUACACACCGCCCGUCACACCAUGGGAGUGGGUUGCAAAAGAAGUAGGUAGCUUAACCUUCGGGAGGGCGCUUACCACUUUGUGAUUCAUGACUGGGGUGAAGUCGUAACAAGGUAACCGUAGGGGAACCUGCGGUUGGAUCACCUCCUUA
This 622-nucleotide ribosomal RNA is filed under the name Escherichia coli. RNAcentral describes it as "bacterial SSU rRNA". Lineage: Bacteria; Pseudomonadati; Pseudomonadota; Gammaproteobacteria; Enterobacterales; Enterobacteriaceae. The record is from RNAcentral.